UACGGAGGGGGCAAGCGUUAUCCGGAUUCACUGGGCUUAAAGGGCGCGUAGGCGGAUUGGUAAGUCCGUGGUGAAAUCUCCGAGCUUAACUCGGAAACUGCCGUGGAUACUAUCAAUCUUGAAUAUCGUGGAGGUAAGCGGAAUAUGUCAUGUAGCGGUGAAAUGCUUAGAGAUGACAUAGAACACCAAUUGCGUAGGCAGCUUACUAGACGAUCAUUGACGCUGAGGCGCGAAAGCGUGGGGAGCAAACAGG
This 253-nucleotide ribosomal RNA is filed under the name uncultured bacterium. RNAcentral describes it as "partial 16S ribosomal RNA". It matches the Rfam family "Bacterial small subunit ribosomal RNA", at positions 524 to 776 of the family's 1533-position model. The record is from RNAcentral.